AAAGGACAGAGAGGCCAAGGCAGCGGCGAAAAAACCAAGCCACCAAGUAGUUGGUGUGUUGGCGCUGCCUCCACCUCUUCUAUCUCCAACAACCAGUUACAGUGUCCUGCCAGCUAUCAAGAACACUAAAGUGACGAAGGUGGAGACAACAGUGCCACCAGGCCCCAUGACACCUGAGGAUGAGGUGAGAAUGAACUCCUCUCCAUCUGUUGAUGACCCCCUUACCCCAGAGACCCCAGAGAGUGAUGUCACCUCCGAUGCCACUUCUCUGGCGGACACACCCCGUGAGAUGACACCUGAGAACGUAGAGGAGGCGUCUUCUCUAGAGGACUUCCUGAAGUCUCACCCUCAGAGAAAGCGCAUCAGGAAGUUCCUCAAACAAAUG
Long non-coding RNA from Coregonus clupeaformis (lake whitefish), 385 nucleotides. RefSeq lists it as uncharacterized. The record is from RefSeq and is a predicted model, not a curated record. NCBI's taxonomy places the organism in Eukaryota, Metazoa, Chordata, Actinopteri, Salmoniformes, Salmonidae. The transcript has 4 exons.